CCGAAAGGCAGGAGUGCCCGCAAGGGAGCGCGGAGACAGGUGGUGCAUGGCUGUCGUCAGCUCGUGUCGUGAGAUGUUGGGUUAAGUCCCGCAACGAGCGCAACCCUCACCCCUUGUUGCCACCAGGUGAUGCUGGGCACUCUAGGGGAACUGCCCCGGUCAACGGGGAGGAAGGCGGGGAUGACGUCAAGUCCGCAUGGCCUUUAUGUCCAGGGCCACACACGUGCUACAAUGGGCGGUACAAACCGUUGCGAUCCCGCGAGGGGGAGCUAAUCGGAGAAAGCCGCUCUCAGUUCGGAUUGCAGGCUGCAACUCGCCUGCAUGAAGUUGGAAUCGCUAGUAAUCGCGGAUCAGCACGCUGCGGUGAAUACGUUCCCGGGCCUUGUACACACCGCCCGUCACAUCACGAAAGCUGG
Molecule: ribosomal RNA, 416 nt
Filed under: uncultured bacterium
Lineage: Bacteria
Description: bacterial SSU rRNA
Rfam family: Bacterial small subunit ribosomal RNA
Source: RNAcentral